RNAcentral lists this ribosomal RNA (403 nucleotides) under uncultured bacterium. RNAcentral's name for it is "bacterial SSU rRNA". It matches the Rfam family "Bacterial small subunit ribosomal RNA", at positions 355 to 774 of the family's 1533-position model. The record is from RNAcentral.
UAGGGAAUAUUGCAAAAUGGGCGAAAGCCCGAUGCAGCAACGCCGCGUGGGCGAUGAAGGCCUUCGGGUCGUAAAGCCCUUUUUGAGGGGAUGAGGAAGGACAGUACCCUCAGAAUAAGCCUCGGCUAACUACGUGCCAGCAGCCGCGGUAAAACGUAGGAGGCGAGCGUUAUCCGGAUUUACUGGGCGUAAAGCGCGUGCAGGCGGAUUGGAGAGUUGGAUGUGAAAGCUCCCGGCUUAACUGGGAGAGGUCGUUCAAUACUUCCAGUCUUGAGUGCAGUAGAGGGAAGUGGAAUUCCGUGUGUAGUGGUGAAAUGCGUAGAUAUCCGGAGGAACACCAGUGGCGAAAGCGGCCUCCUGGACUGUAACUGACGCUCAGACGCGAAAGCUAGGGUAGCAAACG